CGUCACUCGCGUCUGGGUACCGGUUCCCCGCUGUCCUGCGCCUGGCGGGCUGGCAUUGGGCCCAAGGAAAGCGGAGCAGGUCUGCUGGUAUAAGUGUCAAGUGUCGCGGCGGCGCCCUCACGGCGAGAAUCGGGAGAAGGAGACAGCAAGGAUAGGCCCAGAAAAACAACCAG
Long non-coding RNA from Enhydra lutris kenyoni (northern sea otter), 173 nucleotides. RefSeq lists it as uncharacterized. The record is from RefSeq and is a predicted model, not a curated record. The transcript has 3 exons. Lineage: Eukaryota; Metazoa; Chordata; Mammalia; Carnivora; Mustelidae.